UAGGGAAUCUUCCACAAUGGACGCAAGUCUGAUGGAGCAACGCCGCGUGAGUGAAGAAGGGUUUCGGCUCGUAAAGCUCUGUUGUUAAAGAGAACGUGGGUAAGAGUAACUGUUUACCCAGUGACGGUAUUUAACCAGAAAGCCACGGCUAACUACGUGCCAG
This 163-nucleotide ribosomal RNA is filed under the name uncultured bacterium. Its description in RNAcentral is "partial 16S rRNA". It matches the Rfam family "Bacterial small subunit ribosomal RNA", at positions 355 to 511 of the family's 1533-position model. The record is from RNAcentral.